RNAcentral lists this ribosomal RNA (428 nucleotides) under Bacteroidota bacterium. RNAcentral's name for it is "Bacteroidetes bacterium partial 16S ribosomal RNA". It matches the Rfam family "Bacterial small subunit ribosomal RNA", at positions 355 to 776 of the family's 1533-position model. Lineage: Bacteria; Pseudomonadati; Bacteroidota. The record is from RNAcentral.
UAGGGAAUCUUCCGCAAUGGACGCAAGUCUGACGGAGCAACGCCGCGUUAGUUAAGAAGGAUUUCGGUUCGUAAAACUCUGUUGUUAGAGAAGAACAGCGCAUAGAGUAACUGUUAUGCGUGUGACGGUAUCUAACCAGAAAGCCACGGCUAACUACGUGCCAGCAGCCGCGGUAAUACGUAGGUCCCGAGCGUUGUCCGGAUUUAUUUGGCGUAAAGCUAGCGCAGGCGGUUAGAAAAGUCUGAAGUGAAAGGCAGUGGCUCAACAAUUGUAGGCUUUGGAAACUGUUUAACUUGAGUGCAGAAGGGGAGAGUGGAAUUCCAUGUGUAGCGGUGAAAUGCGUAGAUAUAUGGAGGAACACCGAUGGCGAAAGCGGCUCUCUGGUCUGUAACUGACGCUGAGGCUCGAAAGCGUGGGGAGCGAACAGG